GGAGGUGGGUCUGAAUGAUAUAGAGCCACUUUGAUAGAGUGAACAAUGAGGGUUAAAAUCCCUCUGCUUCCC
This 72-nucleotide transfer RNA is filed under the name Cyema atrum (bobtail snipe eel). RNAcentral's name for it is "tRNA-Ile". It matches the Rfam family "tRNA". From Rfam's summary of the family: Transfer RNA (tRNA) molecules are approximately 80 nucleotides in length. Their secondary structure includes four short double-helical elements and three loops (D, anti-codon, and T loops). Lineage: Eukaryota; Metazoa; Chordata; Actinopteri; Anguilliformes; Cyematidae. The record is from RNAcentral.